Molecule: long non-coding RNA, 397 nt
Filed under: Gossypium barbadense (sea-island cotton)
Lineage: Eukaryota; Viridiplantae; Streptophyta; Magnoliopsida; Malvales; Malvaceae
Description: long non-coding RNA (GBAR_LNC023115)
Source: RNAcentral
GAGGAUUGGGUUUACCUUUCUCAGUCAAAAUGAAUCUUCUCUCUUUGGAUAGAUAACGUAAGACAAACCUAUUACUUCGAUAAAUUUGAAUAGGUGGUGACGCACCAUGACAUGUCUUGCUCCUCGAGGGGUGGAAUUCACAAAAAUAAGACGGGUUAGUAUUAUCAAAAACUAUGGACUUAAAUGGAAAAGGAAAGUUACCAUAGAAAUUUGAUUCAAUUCCAAAAACAUAGGUUGGCCUUACCUUCUCGAAAUGAAAUGAAAAAUUCAAAUGUGGCCAAACAAGGUGAUUAAUAAAUGAAUCAAAAUUGAAACCCAAAUCAUUGAAUUUCACCUUCUUAUCAAAAAUUCGAACUUCAAGCAAACAUAAUUUCAAUGUAAAUGAUGCAAAGCGCUU